AGCGAACGCUGGCGGCAGGCCUAACACAUGCAAGUCGAGCGGAUCCUUCGGGAUUAGUGGCGGACGGGUGAGUAACGCGUGGGAACGUGCCCUUUGGUUCGGAACAACUCAGGGAAACUUGAGCUAAUACCGGAUGUGCCCUUCGGGGGAAAGAUUUAUCGCCAUUGGAGCGGCCCGCGUCUGAUUAGCUAGUUGGUGAGGUAACGGCCCACCAAGGCGACGAUCAGUAGCUGGUCUGAGAGGAUGAUCAGCCACACUGGGACUGAGACACGGCCCAGACUCCUACGGGAGGCAGCAGUGGGGAAUCUUGCGCAAUGGGCGAAAGCCUGACGCAGCCAUGCCGCGUGAAUGAUGAAGGUCUUAGGAUUGUAAAAUUCUUUCAGCGGGGACGAUAAUGACGGUACCCGCAGAAGAAGCUCCGGCUAACUUCGUG
RNAcentral lists this ribosomal RNA (433 nucleotides) under uncultured bacterium. RNAcentral describes it as "partial 16S ribosomal RNA". It matches the Rfam family "Bacterial small subunit ribosomal RNA", at positions 29 to 507 of the family's 1533-position model. The record is from RNAcentral.